CCGACUGGGAUAUUUAAAAAACAUACGUGAAAAUUACUUUCCGUAAAAGCAGUAUCAGCCAUAGUGUCACUUCGUUUCCACUUUGCGUAUUUGCAGAAUUGUGUGUUGGCAAAAAACGAAAAAAAUGUCAAAACCAAGUUUUGAUAUCUUACGUGAUCUACAAAAUGAUGAGAUAUCGAAAAAGUUUUGCGAUUAUCUAAAGGGAAAACUUGAAGAACUUAUUGAGAUCAUUAAGCAAUUUGAGAACUUUCGUUACAUAGCAUCUGAUUUUAACGAAUUAAAAACCAAUAACCCAACCAUAGAAGAUAUAAAGAAGAACAAGAAAAGGGAAUUGCAAAAUAUAGUUGAGAACGCGGACUUUGCGCACACAUAUAAAAACUUUCAUGAUGGUCAUUAAAACAAUAAAUUUUUAAUUUUCUCUGUAAGAUAUGAAGUAAAAAUAAAAAUAAAAAAUAAAAAGCCUAAUACCUA
This is a long non-coding RNA of Zophobas morio, 471 nucleotides long. RefSeq lists it as uncharacterized. The record is from RefSeq and is a predicted model, not a curated record. The transcript is spliced from 2 exons. Lineage: Eukaryota; Metazoa; Arthropoda; Insecta; Coleoptera; Tenebrionidae.